ACGGGAGGCAGCAGUAGGGAAUCUUCGGCAAUGGACGAAAGUCUGACCGAGCAACGCCGCGUGAGUGAAGAAGGUUUUCGGAUCGUAAAACUCUGUUGUUAGAGAAGAACAGGAGCGAUAGUAACUGCUCGCUCUUUGACGGUAUCUAACCAGAAAGCCACGGCUAACUACGUGCCAGCAGCCGCGGUAAUA
This 192-nucleotide ribosomal RNA is filed under the name uncultured bacterium. RNAcentral's name for it is "partial 16S ribosomal RNA". It matches the Rfam family "Bacterial small subunit ribosomal RNA", at positions 341 to 525 of the family's 1533-position model. The record is from RNAcentral.